RNAcentral lists this ribosomal RNA (869 nucleotides) under bacterium 060620-Aspo-KJ0052F01-H6-SRB29. RNAcentral's name for it is "bacterial SSU rRNA". It matches the Rfam family "Bacterial small subunit ribosomal RNA", at positions 18 to 869 of the family's 1533-position model. The record is from RNAcentral.
UCUGGCUCAGAUUGAACGCUGGCGGCGUGCUUAACACAUGCAAGUCGAGCGAGAAAGUUCUCUUCGGAGAAUGAGUAGAGCGGCGCACGGGUGAGUAACGCGUGGAUAAUCUACCCUGAAGAUCGGGAUAACAGUUGGAAACGACUGCUAAUACCGGAUAUCCUGCAUAUUUAGCUUUAUGUGGUAAAGGCGGCCUCUAUUUAUAAGCUGCCGCUUUGGGAUGAGUCCGCGUCUCAUUAGCUUGUUGGUGGGGUAAUGGCCUACCAAGGCAACGAUGAGUAGCUGGUCUGAGAGGAUGAUCAGCCACACUGGGACUGAAACACGGCCCAGACUCCUACGGGAGGCAGCAGUGGGGAAUAUUGCGCAAUGGGGGAAACCCUGACGCAGCGACGCCGCGUGCGGGAAGAAGGCCUUCGGGUCGUAAACCGCUGUCAGGAGGGAAGAAACUGUUAGGGUAUAAUACGCCCUUUCACUGACGGUACCUCCAAAGGAAGCACCGGCUAACUCCGUGCCAGCAGCCGCGGUAAUACGGAGGGUGCGAGCGUUAAUCGGAAUCACUGGGCGUAAAGCGCACGUAGGCGGCGCAUCAAGUCAGGCGUGAAAGCCCUCGGCUCAACCGAGGAAUUGCGCUUGAAACUGGUGUGCUGGAGUCUCGGAGAGGUUGGCGGAAUUCCAGGUGUAGGAGUGAAAUCCGUAGAUAUCUGGAGGAACACCGGUGGCGAAGGCGGCCAACUGGACGAGUACUGACGCUGAGGUGCGAAAGCGUGGGGAGCAAACAGGAUUAGAUACCCUGGUAGUCCACGCUGUAAACGAUGGAUAUUAGGUGUCGGGGGUUACCUUCGGUGCCGCAGUUAACGCGUUAAAUUCCC